GGGGAAUAUUGCGCAAUGGGGGAAACCCUGACGCAGCAACGCCGCGUGAGUGAUGAAGGUCUUCGGAUUGUAAAACUCUGUCUUUGGGGACGAAGAAAAUGACGGUACCCAAGGAGGAAGCCACGGCUAACUACGUGCCAGCAGCCGCGGUAAUACGUAGGUGGCAAGCGUUGUCCGGAAUUACUGGGCGUAAAGGGUGCGUAGGCGGUAUGUUAAGUCAGAUGUGAAAUUCCGGAGCUUAACUUCGGAAUUGCAUUUGAAACUGGCAUGCUAGAGUGCAGGAGAGGGAAGCGGAAUUCCUAGUGUAGCGGUGAAAUGCGUAGAUAUUAGGAAGAACACCAGUGGCGAAGGCGGCUUUCUGGACUGUAACUGACGCUGAUGCACGAAAGCGUGGGGAGCAAAC
This 403-nucleotide ribosomal RNA is filed under the name uncultured bacterium. RNAcentral describes it as "bacterial SSU rRNA". It matches the Rfam family "Bacterial small subunit ribosomal RNA", at positions 356 to 773 of the family's 1533-position model. The record is from RNAcentral.